Tachyglossus aculeatus (Australian echidna) is the source of this 138-nucleotide small nucleolar RNA. The record is from RefSeq and is a predicted model, not a curated record. NCBI's taxonomy places the organism in Eukaryota, Metazoa, Chordata, Mammalia, Monotremata, Tachyglossidae.
CGCUUCUCAGGAUCACACCUGGAGAGUUUCCAGUAUUCUACCAGUGUCAGUUAAGGGAGGGAGAGUCAGGCAGAGGCAUAUCCAUUCCAUUCCUACCUUGGACAAUAACUAGUGAGUGGAAGGCAAUUUGCUACAAGU